Molecule: small nucleolar RNA, 137 nt
Organism: Anolis carolinensis (green anole)
Lineage: Eukaryota; Metazoa; Chordata; Lepidosauria; Squamata; Anolidae
Source: Ensembl
GCAUGGUUUUGGAUUUAUGGUGGAUCUAACUCCAUAGAUCCUUCAUAGUGUAUUCCAUGCAAAAGCAAUAUGCUGCCCCGAACCAUUGGCUAGUUUGGCUUGCUGUAGCCCUGGCUACUGAAGCGGGCAGUACAUCU